Molecule: RNase P RNA, 292 nt
Filed under: uncultured Halarcobacter sp.
Lineage: Bacteria; Pseudomonadati; Campylobacterota; Epsilonproteobacteria; Campylobacterales; Arcobacteraceae
Description: Bacterial RNase P class A
Rfam family: Bacterial RNase P class A
About the family: Ribonuclease P (RNase P) is a ubiquitous endoribonuclease, found in archaea, bacteria and eukarya as well as chloroplasts and mitochondria.
Source: RNAcentral
UAAUUUUACAAGAGGAAAGUCCGGGCUGCUGUGAAGUAUGGUUCCAUUUAAUGAAUGGCUAGAGUAAUCUAAGGGAUAGUGCAACAGAAAGUAAACCGCCACUUAGGUGGUAAGGGUGAAACGGUAGAGUAAGAGCCUACCAGCAUUUUGAGUAAUCUUAAUGGCUAUGUAAACCCAACCUGCAGCAAGAAGGGGUGGUAUAAACUUCACGACAGAUGCCCUUUGCAAGAUUGUUAAAGUAAUUUAACAACUAGAUAAAUUAUUGUCAAAAACAAAACUCGGCUUAUGGUGU